This 694-nucleotide long non-coding RNA is filed under the name Callithrix jacchus (white-tufted-ear marmoset). Its description in RNAcentral is "lncRNA (ENSCJAG00000080367.1)". The record is from RNAcentral. Lineage: Eukaryota; Metazoa; Chordata; Mammalia; Primates; Cebidae.
CCCCCCAGAGUCAGCGUAGUCCCAGAUCUGCUCUCUGGAGUCCUGGGUGGGAGGAUCUGGGGAUCUAGACAGGGAGGAAGAUACAGAAGAUUGAUUUGGGGAGGCAGAAGAAUUGGUAGAAGCGGUCCCUGGUCACCAGUCUCAGCUUGUUCCUUAGGGUAUGCUCAUCUCUUGGGUGAAAAUCAUUCUGCCACACAUUCCCUUUCAUUCCUCCAGGAGCUGACCUGCACUCCCAGGAUAAUUUAUUUUAAUGAGAACUUCAUUCUCAGUCAUCCUACCAACAGACUCCAGCUAGAAGACAAAGGACUCAGAACUGGACUCUGGCCCUCUCUAAAGCAAAGUGAAGGAAGUGGUAUCCAUCAGAGUGCUGGGAGGAGACACCACCUGCAGAUCGGUAUCAUUCGAAGAGAGUUUAACCUUGUCCAUAAUGUGGAUGGACUGCGGUGGUGCAAUCUUGGCUCCCUGCAACCUCUCCCUCCCGAGAUCAAGCACUUCUCCUGCCUCAGCCUCCCGAGUAGCUGAAACUACAGGCACCUGCUACCAGGCCAGGCUAAGUUUUGUAGUUUUAGUAGAGAUGGGUUUUCAUCAUAUUGGCCAGGCUGGUCUGGAACUCCUGACCUUGUGAUUUACCCUCCUCAGCCUCCCAAAUUGCUGGGAUUAGAGGCGUGAGCCACUAUGCCCAGCCAGUAAGAAC